GGAAACGUCAAACAGCAUAUUUUGAAUAUUUUUUAUCGAUUCCACAUCAGCCUGCAGAAUCAGCAGAACAGAAUCCAAACUACUCGGCUAGUAUGUUCAAUCUGACGACGGAACGUCGUGAUUUUCGAUGGAGUUAACAGAAGAACGGCCUGCUGAAGAGCUUCCACGAUGUAGAAUGAGGAGCUAGAUGUUGGAGCAAGUGGUUUCCGUUGCGGUGACUUAUGCAGGGUUCGUCGGUACGGUGUGAGGUCCCAUACAGGACACCAUCCAAGAGGAAACGUAUGGCCAAAUGCAGCAACCAGA
Aedes albopictus (Asian tiger mosquito) is the source of this 303-nucleotide long non-coding RNA. RefSeq lists it as uncharacterized. NCBI's taxonomy places the organism in Eukaryota, Metazoa, Arthropoda, Insecta, Diptera, Culicidae. The record is from RefSeq and is a predicted model, not a curated record. The transcript is spliced from 2 exons.